RNAcentral lists this long non-coding RNA (305 nucleotides) under Neogale vison (American mink). RNAcentral's name for it is "Neovison vison (American mink) lncRNA (ENSNVIG00000008073.1)". Lineage: Eukaryota; Metazoa; Chordata; Mammalia; Carnivora; Mustelidae. The record is from RNAcentral.
UGUUCUAUUUCUAUUGGACAGCAGUGGUCUCCGGUGAUGCACGGUGCUGUGGGGACCAGCGGGGCAGCAUGUCACCCGGUCUGGGCUGCAGGAAUGCUGCCUGGAGGAGCAGAUGCGCCUGAGCGGAGUCUCAGCAGUGGAGCAGAGGUCAUCCAGGAUAUUUUGUAGGUCAUGCCAGGUGAAAGAGGACUGGCAAAAGGAGACGGUGCAAACUCGAGUGGAUGGAGAAGCUGGAGAGUGAGAAGACAUCUUCAAGGGGGAAACAAAGCUUUUCCUGACUUCCGUGGAUUUCUACAGAGCCUUGG